GGUCUGUUAGUUUAAAUUAAAACAAAGAGUUUGUAACUCUAGAUUACCAGAAUUCAGGUGUAGACCU
This 67-nucleotide transfer RNA is filed under the name Strongylocotes lipogonus. Its description in RNAcentral is "tRNA-Thr". The record is from RNAcentral. Lineage: Eukaryota; Metazoa; Arthropoda; Insecta; Psocodea; Heptapsogasteridae.